AUGGGAAACGCAGCAGGAAGCAUGGAGCUGCCCAACCCCAGGGAGGCCAGGAGCGGGCCGGCCCCUGCGCUCCCCACGGGGCCCCAGAAACCGGCCGCGGUGCCCAAACUGCCAAUGCCCGGCGAGGAGGAGCUGGAGGAGCGCUUCAGCGCGCUUCUGAACACGAUGAAUCUUCCUCCGGACAAAGUGAAGAUCCUCGGUCAGUACGACAAUGAGAAGAAGUGGGACCUGAUCUGUGACCAGGAGCGCUUUCAGGUGAAGAAUCCACCGGCUGCGUAUCUGGAGAAGCUCAGGACGUGUCUGGACCAGGGAGGCGUCAGUAGAAAGUUCAAGAGACGUGUCCAGGAGUGCACUCAGGUCCUGAGGGAGCUGGAAAUCUCCCUGCGGACCAACCACAUUGGUUGGGCGGAAGAGUUUCUGAAUGAAGACAAUCAGGGCCUCAACGUCCUUGUGGAUUAUCUGUCGUUUGCCAACGUCGCUGUCGCGUCGGACGUGGACAAUGUGGACAACGGCUUGGUUCACACAAACAAAGGCAAAAACACAGAGAAGUCGGUGGAAGACCUGAGCAGAAGCGCCAGCAACUCGCCUUCACACAAGGCGCUGACAGUGAGAUUCAACUCUCUCCAACACAGGAAAGCCCAGAGGAACUCACGGGUGGUGAGCCAGAAGGACGACGUCCACCUCUGCAUCAUGUGCUUACGUGCCAUCAUGAACUAUCAGUCUGGGUUCAACCUGGUGAUGAAGCAUCCGUCCUGUGUCAACGAGAUCGCGCUGAGCCUCAACAACAGGAACCCAAGGACCAAGGCGCUGGUGCUGGAGCUGCUGGCUGCCGUGUGUCUGGUGAGAGGAGGCCACGACAUCAUCCUGUCUGCCUUCGACAACUUCAAAGAGGUUUGUGGAGAGAAAAGUCGAUUUGAGAAGCUCAUGGAGUUUUUCUGCAACGACGACAACAACAUCGACUUCAUGGUGGCCUGUAUGCAGUUCAUCAACAUCGUGGUCCACUCAGUGGAAAACAUGAACUUCAGAGUUUACCUCCAGUACGAGUUCACGCAGCACGGGCUGGACGACUACCUGGAGAAGCUGAAGUUCACAGAGAGCGACAAGCUGUCGGUGCAGAUCCAGGCCUACCUCGACAAUCUGUUCGAUGUGGGAGCUUUGCUGGAGGACGCGGAGACGAAGAACGCGCUGCUGGAGCACAUGGAGGAACUGCAGGAGCACAACACGCAGCUGAGCAGCAGGCUUCAGGAGAGCGAGAGGGAGGCGAUGGAGAAAGUCACUGAGCUGGAGAAGAACCUGAUUCAGGCCACAAAAGAAGUGGCGCUGCUCCAGGUAACAGCAGCCGCGCGUCCCACAGGCGCUGGAAGCUGGAAGCUGGAGGUCGUAACGCGUCACGCGUCUGCGUUUCAGGAGAGUCUACGCGAGUCCAGCUCUCAGGUGACUCUGCUGCAGCAGCGAGAGAGAGACAUAGAAGUGGAGCGGGAGAGCGAGAGAGCGCGGCUGCGCGACCAGGAGCGCUGCACCCAGAGCCUGAGGGAGCUGGAGGUCAAAGUUCAGGCCCUGGUGCAGCAGGGGCUCGUCCGCAUGGAGCGCUCUCCAUGCGGACGCCUGGACCUCCUGCUGCUGCCCGUCAACCCCAGCGCUGCACAGAAGCGUCAGGUCGACAGAGGAAUCAAAGCCGAGGAUGAAACGGACUCGGGUGAGGCCACGCCCACUUCCUCUGAAGGUUCAGUGCAGUCCGUGCCCCAGGCUCCUCCCCCACCCCCGCCCCCGUUGCCUCCUCCAGGAGCUGCCACAGCUCCUCCUCCUCCUCCUGUAGCUCCACCUGCCGUGCCGACUCCUGGAGGUGGUUUCAAGAAGAAGAAGUCCAUCAAGACCAAGUAUCGAAUGCCACUGUUGAACUGGCAGGACCUCAAAUGCAACCAGGUGGCAGGAACCAUCUUCAGUGAGCUGGACGACGAACACGUCUACGAGGAGGUGAACAUGGCUGCAUUCGAGGAACAGUUCAAGACCAAGGCCCAGUCGGCUCCCGUAGAACUGGGAACUCUGAAGAAGAAACUGGCCCAGAAGGCCCCCAGCAAAGUGUCUCUGAUGGAGCCCAACAGGGCCAAGAACCUGGCCAUCACGCUGCGUAAGGAAGGCGUGGCCGGGUCCGACAUCUGCUGCGCCAUAGAGACGUACAACCCAAAAGCCCUGAGCCUGGACUUCCUGGAGCUCCUGGAGCGCUUCAUCCCCACCGAGUACGAGAUGAAGCUCAUCCACAGCUACGAGUGCGAGGGCAGGCCCCUGGACGAGCUCAGCGAGGAGGACCGCUUCAUGGUGCUCUUCAGCAAGAUCCCUCGGCUCGGCCAGCGCAUCAGCACCCUCACCUUCAUGGGCAACUUCCCCGAGAGCGUCCAGCUAAUGCAGCCUCAACUCAACGCGGUCAUCGCUGCGUCCAUGUCGCUGAAAUCAUCCGUCAAGCUGAAGAAACUCCUGGAGAUCAUCUUAGCGUUUGGAAACUACAUGAACAGCAGCAAGCGAGGAGCCGCGUACGGCUUCCGGCUGCAGAGCCUGGAUCUGCUGUUAGACACUAAAUCCACUGAUCGGAAGCAGACGUUGCUGAACUUCAUCACCAGCAUCAUCCAGGAGAAAUACCCUGAGGUCCGGUCCUUCUACGCCGAGCUGCACUUUCUGGAUAAGGCGGCGCUUGGUGAGCAGCCGACUGAUGCACACGUCUGCUCCGGUGGAGUUCAUCCUAUCCUUUCUGACCUCUCCUGGACCUUCUGGCCAGUUUCUCUGGACAGCAUUCAGCAGGACGUGCAGGCUCUGGAGCGAGGCAUGGAGCUGACCAGGAGGGAGUUCUCCAUAGAGAAGGACAACCCUGUGCUCCAGACGUUCCUCAGCCUCAACACGGGGCUGCUCAACGCGCUGACGGCCGACAGAAGGACCGCUCAGGACGUGUACGACUCCGUCGUCGAGUACUUUGGAGAGAACUCCAAGACGACGCCUCCGUCCAUGUUCUUCCCCGUCUUCAUCAGAUUCAUUAAAGCCUACAAGCAAGCGGAGCAGGAGAACGAGCAGAGGAAGAAACACGAGCUAAACAGCGAAGCUCCGUCGACUCCACCCAGACCUGACGGUUCGGAGACCAAGGUUCUCCUGAUUCCCAAACUGCAGCAGAUGGAUCUAAUCGCGGAGCUGAAGAGGCGGCAGGUGUCUCCUCUGGUGAGGGAGAGGAAGGACGGCGCCAUCGAGGACAUCAUCACAGAUCUGAAGAACCAGCCGUACAGACGAGCUGACGCCGCCCGACACAGUGCCAAGUGGAAGCAGAGUCAGCAGCUGCAGGUGUCCUCGGACAUCUCCCUCUGAGAAGCCCACACACAGUGUGUGGAGGCACGCGAGCCGCUCACGCUGGAUUUCCUGAGAAUGAGCCUCCAGCUGUUCAGUACUCCAGCUGUUCGCGGCCUGUGAAGGGGGACCAGCUGGGUCUCCUGCCAACGCUUGUCAGACUGGACGGAGUUGAUGGAUGAAUAGUAGAACGAUAAGAAUGCCGCAGAUGCCUCGAACCCGUUCUCCUGCAUGCCUGUGGUCCAGAUUCUGGGUUUAAUUUGACGAGCUGCUUUUGUACAGCCGGUUGUUUUACAGUCCCGUCCAUGAGGAAGUUUCAGUUACAAAGCUGUUGCCAGUGAAAACGAGAUUCCUGAGGCAGCAUCUACUUCCCUCUUCUCUGAAUGAAGAUUUAUGUUGUUGCUGGAGCUGUCAUAUGAUAGGUGGCAGUAAAUUUAGUUUCUGCUUAGUCUCAUAGAACUUUAGAGCAACUUUACUUCAGUUCUGUUCAUGCAAGUGUUAAUAUUUCUUUUGCAGGUUUCUGUUGUCAACACCAAACAUUUAUUUGAAUUGUCUUUAUAUUGAGAUGUUAAGUUUAUGCGUUCAAAUAAAAUAAAAACAAUCAAGUCAAACCA
RNA transcript from Betta splendens (Siamese fighting fish), 3938 nucleotides. It is a transcript of the gene named formin-like 1b, with no coding region annotated. The transcript is spliced from 24 exons. NCBI's taxonomy places the organism in Eukaryota, Metazoa, Chordata, Actinopteri, Anabantiformes, Osphronemidae. The record is from RefSeq and is a predicted model, not a curated record.